RNAcentral lists this long non-coding RNA (1135 nucleotides) under Bemisia tabaci. Its description in RNAcentral is "lncRNA ENSSSA2NGG006875". The record is from RNAcentral. Lineage: Eukaryota; Metazoa; Arthropoda; Insecta; Hemiptera; Aleyrodidae.
AUGCUUCUUUCAACUUCCACUGCAGUGAAACCAGCACAGCUUCUUUUUGGGAAGCAGUUGCAAACAUUAUUUAAACAGGGUGCGGUGGUUUCAGCACGAAACGCGCAGACAGAGGCUGCUGCCUCUAGUUCAUCGAGUAAUGUUCCUGCCCAACAGUCAGCUGUUCAAGGUACAGCACCUCAAGAAAAAAUGCCAUACUCCCCUUUUACUCCUAACAAAGCCAGUACGUUUGAAUAUGUUCUUGCAAGGGCUGAUGAUGUCCUCAACUGGGGUCGCAAGGUAAGAUUCACCCUAUUUUACUAUGUAUUAUUUCCCUCCUGAAGAAAGUAUUUUCAGUGAAUAUUCUGUUUUAGGCUUGUGGAAUAUUUGAUAUGACAGAGACAGAAAUCAUAAAUUUUCUUUGAAUGAUACAAAACAAAAUAAAGCUGUAAGCUUACUGUCUGUCUGACCCCCCAGAAAAGAUGUAUAAAAAUUACGCACUCAACUUUCUUACCAGAGAGGAAAGUAAUGUGUUUUUUAGCCAGCCACUUUUGUAAGGCAGAAAUGAAAUUGAUUUCAUAAGUAUUGAAUAAGUUGUGCAUAUCCCAGAAUUGUGUUUUCACAAUUGCUGCUCACUGAAGAAUAAAUAUCAUGAGAUAAUUCUAACAUGAAGCUCUUAAUUUUAAUUUUUAAUAGAAUCAACACUAUCCUAAAGCAUGUCAUAUGGCAUCCUCUAUUGUAGCAGUGCAUUCCAUUUUUCCCUCUGCAUUGGUUUUGUUUGGUGACGGGUGCACAACAACCAUUGCUAGUGCGUCCAUCACUAAUUAGCGAAUCAAGGUAGAAAAAAACCAUAGGAUGCCUUACAGUGGUGCAUGCUGUCACCCCUCUUUAUCAGAGGACAUUAUUUUAUCAAUUUUGAUGGUGAAAACCUGGAAUUCGAACUGAUUUUAUUAUUCUUUUGUGCCAUGAUCUGCAGUAAUGAUCAAAACUCUAUUUUUCCAUUUAAGAACACUCUCAAAUUAAGAUUCUAUUUCGUUUUUUUCUAAAUCCUUUUCAGCAACAUCCUGUUAAUAGAUUUUAGGGUUGCGAAAAGUGCCUCAAAUCCCAGGACACGUUUAGUUUCUAGAAGUCAAUUUGCUCAGUUGGCACUUUUGAA